Aegilops tauschii subsp. strangulata is the source of this 2617-nucleotide non-coding RNA. The record is from RefSeq and is a predicted model, not a curated record. Lineage: Eukaryota; Viridiplantae; Streptophyta; Magnoliopsida; Poales; Poaceae.
ACUGCAGCUAACAUAAACACAAAACAAAUGCAGGCAUGCCUGGUGGUGUCAAGUACUUUGGCGAGCUGGAGGAACAUUGCUUUCUAGGGCAAUGAAGUGAAGCUCUACGAGCGCCAUGUGGAUAAGCUCUUCACAAUGUUUGGACACAAAGAGCCAAUGAUCGACUAUUAUGUCUGCACCAUCAACAAGAUGUUUGCCAAACCAGGCCAGGGCAUGGUAUGCCCAAAUGCGUAGCCUGGUCAAUGUUUACUAACUUCGUGAUGUAGCAAGUUGUAUCUCCAUACUAUAGACUUAGACUCAAACUUUUUAUUCAUUUUUUUUAAUUUUUUAACAGAAAACAUGUUGAUUGAUUCUCACUGAGUAUCUGUGCUUUUAACUUUAUCUUUUGAACACCACUACUGAUGCUUUAGUGCCAUGCCCACACUGUAUGUGAAAAUGACAAAUUUGCUUUGCUAUGUCUAUCUGUAAGCCCAAUUUUCUUUCGUCGGUAUUUUAUCUCACUCUAAUACUUUGUUAUACUCAAUGAGAUUCAUUCAACUCUCUUUUGCAAUAUUACUUGUUUCUCUCAUAAUUCUAUAAUCUGUUGUGCUCGGCCAGUCGAUUACCCGCGCAUCUAUUUUUAGCUCAUAUAAAAAAAUCUUGUUCUGUUCAUACUACUUAACAGUCAACAGUUUAGUCAUCUUAUGAAAACCAAUUAUGUUCCCUAUAACUCCAAACAGAAUUUUAUACCUCAACUGGUGCUUUCAAUAUACUGCCAUAACCAUUUUUUCUUAUCCUAUUUUCAUCUAAGAAGUGGAUGAGCUCGAGGAGGUGUUCUACGAGGCCCCACGCCCCUUGUCCCCUCCCCUGCUUCUCCGCCGCCGCCUCUUUCUCCGCCAAAUCCACAUCACUGCCGUGCCCGUUGCUGGGACGGGACAGGGGUGGAGGCGAGGGAGAGAGGGGGGUUGACUCGGCAGCGCCGCCUAGCAGUGUAUGAGGUAUCUAGAGGAGGGCAGUGCGGCAGGGUAAACUCCUCUCCCACUGCAGAGCAGUCCACGGCGCGGUCACUGUCGUCCUCACCUUCUAGCCGUCUGUGAUGUCCGUCGCCAUCGCCAAGCCCCCUCGCCACGCGGUACACAUAGAUGGGAGAGGCGGUAGGAUGCAGCAGCUCGCAGAUUCCUUGGUCGCCGCCGAUGCCAAGCAAGAAGACAAGGUGGGAAGGCGAAGCUGGUUGGAGGAAGAAGCCAUGCAAACUUGGUGAGAGAGGAGAUGGGGUAGGGCGGGAAGCUGUGUGGGACGACUCGGCACUGGUGGACGCCUUCGAUCACACCGUCGCUACCUAAAAGGUAUGGGCCCUCGCCCCCUUUUAUUCUCUUGCCCUUUCCGCCUUGUUGGGAGAAGAUGUAUGUGUGUUCUGUUUUAGACAAUGGUGUUCAUGUAAGCGCGUUCACGUCAUGUUCCGUUCUGCAAUGCACAAGUACUAUGUUCUCUUUUAUUUCUGGAAUCGUGUGUAUUCGCACAAGUACUAUGCACACAGCAACACAUGGUCUAUACUGCUGCAAAUUGUUCCGCGUUAGCUUUGAAUCUGUUAGUGAAGUUGUUAUUGUAUGGUAACGGCGUACUUUUAUGGGAUGAUUAAUAGAAUGGAUCUGCAUGUGCUAUAGAUAGCUAAUCCUUUGCAACAAUUUAAUAAGAUGCUGAAAUCAAAGGCGUGGCCUCUAUUUGAUCAGCACGGUAUGCUAUAAAACCGAGAAGAAGAGAAGGAGGAGUAUGGGUGUGAUUUGCUUCUGUUUUUGUUAUAUAAUUGUAGGCUCUGCUGGUACCAUUUUCUUUUUCUGGUGUAAAUUUUUGCUCUUGCGAUUUGUCUCUUGUAAUUAUCUUGAAUCCUACAGUCAGUUGCAUUUUUGGUUCCUACAGUCAGUUGCAUUUUUGGUACCAGGUGAGAGUUUGGUCCUGCAAUUCGGUUCCUACAGUCAGUUGCAUUUUUCUUGUAUGAAAUUAAAGUGUCGUAGUUUAUCAAUAUCACCCGAAUUGGACCAUCUGACAUUUCAUAAGCUUUAUCAGUACUAUGUUCUCCUCAGCUGUACUGCUGCUCCAACUGAAGGUUUGCUCUCAGUUUCAGAUCUCCCUGAGUUAUUCUAGAAUCUAUUAUGCUCUUUUACAUUGAAUUCCUUGGGUUGAAACUGUGAGCUGUGCCUAUUUUUAAUUCUAAAAUAUAUCUGCUGUCUAGAGAAGGUAGAACGACAAGGUUAUUCAGAUGUUUUACAGUAUCUGAUAUGCCCCUUAAUUAGUACGGUGGGCUCACAAGCUUGGGUCCUGAGCCACAAGAACUCGAGAAAGGCAUCAUACAUUCCUUUUUUGCAAGGCACUGGCAACUUCAGAUACGAUUGCCCAUGGACAUGUCUCAGAAUCCCCCAUGUCAACAACUGGUAGCCAAAGAUCUUCAUAGAACUGAGUGGCAUUUUCGUCACAUUUUUUGUGGUGAUUUUACAAUUUGAGUAUUCAGCUUGAAUACCCUUUAAACUUUCCGUCGUUCUGUUCUUAUUGUUUUCGUAUAGCGGUAGAUGUCACAAUUGAAUCUUGAAUUCUUAUCACUGCAGAAAAUUGCAGCAUAUAGUGAUUCAUUACUUCUUGAGUA